UUAGAGUUUGAUCAUGGCUCAGAACGUACGCUGGCGGCACGCCUAAUACAUGCAAGUCGAACGAAGUAGCAAUACUUAGUGGCAGACGGGUGAGUAACAUGUAGGUAUCUUCCCAUUGGUGAGGAAUAACACGAGGAAACUUGUGCUAAUACCUCAUAAGUCUUUACGGAGAAAGCUUUAUGCGCCGAUGGAUGAGCCUGCACUUGAUUAGUUUGUUGGUAGGGUAAUGGCCUACCAAGACAAUGAUCAAUAGCUGAUUUGAGAGGAUGAUCAGCCACAUUGGGACUGAGACACGGCCCAAACUCCUACGGGAGGCAGCAGUAGGGAAUAUUGCACAAUUGAGGAAACUCUGAUGCAGCGAUGCCGCGUGAGUGAAGAAGGCCCUUGGGUUGUAAAGCUCUUUCGUCGGGGAAGAAAAUGACUGUACCCGAAUAAGAAGGUCCGGCUAACUUCGUGCCAGCAGCCGCGGUAAUACGAAGGGACCUAGCGUAGUUCGGAAUUACUGGGCUUAAAGAGUUCGUAGGUGGUUGAAAAAGUUGGUGGUGAAAUCCCAGAGCUUAACUCUGGAACUGCCAUCAAAACUUUUCAGCUAGAGUUUGAUAGAGGAAAGCAGAAUUUCUAGUGUAGAGGUGAAAUUCGUAGAUAUUAGAAAGAAUACCAAUUGCGAAGGCAGCUUUCUGGAUCAUUACUGACACUGAGGAACGAAAGCAUGGGUAGCGAAGAGGAUUAGAUACCCUCGUAGUCCAUGCCGUAAACGAUGUGUGUUAGACGUUGGAAAUUUAUUUUCAGUGUCGCAGCGAAAGCGAUAAACACACCGCCUGGGGAGUACGACCGCAAGGUUAAAACUCAAAUGAAUUGACGGGGACCCGCACAAGUAGUGGAGCAUGUGGUUUAAUUCGAAGAUACGCGCAGAACCUUACCAACACUUGACAUGUUCGUCGCGACUUUAAGAGAUUAAAGUUUUCGGUUCGGCCGGACGAAACACAGGUGCUGCAUGGCUGUCGUCAGCUCGUGUCGUGAGAUGUUGGGUUAAGUCCCGCAACGAGCGCAACCCUCACUUUUAGUUGCCAUCAUUAAGUUGGGCACUCUGAAAGAACUGCCAGUGAUAAGCUGGAGGAAGGUGGGGAUGACGUCAAGUCCUCAUGGCCCUUACGUGUUGGGCUACACACGUGCUACAAUGGUAUCUACAACAGGAAGCAAGACUGCGAGGUCAAGCAAAUCCUCAAAAGAUACCUCAGUUCGGAUUGCACUCUGCAACUCGAGUGCAUGAAGCUGGAAUUACUAGUAAUCGUGGAUCAGCGUGCCACGGAGAAUGCGUUCCCGGGUCUUGUA
This 1332-nucleotide ribosomal RNA is filed under the name uncultured bacterium. Its description in RNAcentral is "16S ribosomal RNA". It matches the Rfam family "Bacterial small subunit ribosomal RNA". The record is from RNAcentral.